RNAcentral lists this ribosomal RNA (503 nucleotides) under uncultured bacterium. Its description in RNAcentral is "bacterial SSU rRNA". It matches the Rfam family "Bacterial small subunit ribosomal RNA", at positions 29 to 507 of the family's 1533-position model. The record is from RNAcentral.
AACUAACGCUGGCGGCGUGCCUAACACAUGCAAGUCGUACGAGAAAGUUGGCUUCGGCCGAUGAGUAAAGUGGCGCACGGGUGAGUAACGCGUGGAUAAUCUGCCUUUUAGUUGGGAAUAACGUACCGAAAGGUGCGCUAAUACCGGAUAAUACUGCAUAACUACUGUUGUGUAGUCAAAGAAGGCCUCUGUUUACAAGCUUUUGCUGAAAGAUGAGUCCGCGUACCAUUAGCUAGUUGGUAGGGUAAUGGCCUACCAAGGCUACGAUGGUUAGCUGGUCUGAGAGGAUGAUCAGCCACACUGGAACUGAGACACGGUCCAGACUCCUACGGGAGGCAGCAGUGAGGAAUAUUGCGCAAUGGGGGCAACCCUGACGCAGCAACGCCGCGUGAGUGAUGAAGGUUUUCGGGUUGUAAAGCCCUGUCAGGUGGGAAGAAACCUCCUUGAGUAAAUAGCUCAAGGAACUGACGGUACCACCAAAGGAAGCACCGGCUAACUCCGUG